GCCGAGGUCGCCUAGCCUGGUAGGGCGCAGCAUUGGAAAUGCUGUGGGCUUCCACCCACGGGCGUUCAAAUCGCCCCCUCGGCG
This 84-nucleotide transfer RNA is filed under the name Thermoplasmatales archaeon SW_10_69_26. RNAcentral describes it as "tRNA-Ser". It matches the Rfam family "tRNA". From Rfam's summary of the family: Transfer RNA (tRNA) molecules are approximately 80 nucleotides in length. Their secondary structure includes four short double-helical elements and three loops (D, anti-codon, and T loops). Further hydrogen bonds mediate the characteristic L-shaped molecular structure. tRNAs have two regions of fundamental functional importance: the anti-codon, which is responsible for specific mRNA codon recognition, and the 3' end, to which the tRNAs corresponding amino acid is attached (by aminoacyl-tRNA synthetases). tRNAs cope with the degeneracy of the genetic code in two manners: having more than one tRNA (with a specific anti-codon) for a particular amino acid; and 'wobble' base-pairing, i.e. permitting non-standard base-pairing at the 3rd anti-codon position. The record is from RNAcentral. Lineage: Archaea; Methanobacteriati; Thermoplasmatota; Thermoplasmata; Thermoplasmatales.